UGGGGAAUCUUGGACAAUGGGGGCAACCCUGAUCCAGCGAUGCCGCGUGGGUGAAGAAGGCCUUCGGGUUGUAAAGCCCUUUAGGUUGGGACGAAGUUUGGUGGGGGAUAAUCCCAUCAGAUUGACGGUACCGACAGAAUAAGCACCGGCAAACUCUGUGCCAGCAGCCGCGGUAAUACAGAGGGUGCGAGCGUUAAUCGGAGUUACUGGGCGUAAAGGGCGCGUAGGCGGUGAGAUGAGUGUGAUGUGAAAGCCCCGGGCUUAACCUGGGAAGGGCAUCGCAAACGAUCUGACUGGAGUAUAGGAGAGGGUGGUGGAAUUUCCGGUGUAGCGGUGAAAUGCGUAGAGAUCGGAAGGAACGUCAAUGGCGAAGGCAGCCACCUGGCCAAAUACUGACGCUGAGGCGCGAGAGCGUGGGGAGCGAACAG
This 428-nucleotide ribosomal RNA is filed under the name uncultured bacterium. RNAcentral describes it as "bacterial SSU rRNA". It matches the Rfam family "Bacterial small subunit ribosomal RNA", at positions 355 to 775 of the family's 1533-position model. The record is from RNAcentral.